GUCAGGAUGGCCGAGCGGUCUAAGGCGCCAGACUCAAGGUUCACACCUUCUCAGUUCAAGACUGAGUUUUCCGAGCUUUCUGGUCCUCUCUGAGGGCGUGGGUUCGAAUCCCACUUCUGACA
Lasius niger is the source of this 122-nucleotide transfer RNA. It matches the Rfam family "tRNA". Rfam says of the family: Transfer RNA (tRNA) molecules are approximately 80 nucleotides in length. NCBI's taxonomy places the organism in Eukaryota, Metazoa, Arthropoda, Insecta, Hymenoptera, Formicidae. The record is from Rfam.